This 1361-nucleotide ribosomal RNA is filed under the name Bembidion varium. Its description in RNAcentral is "16S ribosomal RNA". The stretch from base 1069 to 1227 matches the Rfam family "Archaeal large subunit ribosomal RNA", at positions 2544 to 2703 of the family's 2987-position model. The record is from RNAcentral. Lineage: Eukaryota; Metazoa; Arthropoda; Insecta; Coleoptera; Carabidae.
GAAAUAAUAAAUUUAUUAAUAAUUUUAGUAAUUAAAUAUAUAAUAAAAAUAAUUUUAAAUAUUUAUAAUUUUAGUAUAAUUUAUAGAAAAAAUUUAUUUAAUAAUAGUUGAUUUGUAUUGUAUAAGAUAAUUGAAAUAUAUUUUUUUUGUUUAAAAGUAAAAUUAAUUUUUUGUACCUUGUGUAUCAGGGUUUAUUAAAUAAAUAUUAAUUAUUUAGUUUUCUCGAAUUUAAGAGAGAGAUAAAAUUAUUUUUAUUAUUGUAAAAAAAAUAUAUAAAAUAGUUUUAUAGUAAUGAAAUGUUAUUCGUUCUUAAAUAUAUCUAGUUUAUUUAGAAAUGAAUUUAAUUCAGGUAUUUUUUUAUUAAUUUAUUAAAUUUUUAAUAAAUUAAUUAUUUAUAUUAAUAAUUAAAGGGAUUAGCUUUUAAUUAAAAUUUAAUAAUUUAUAUUAUAUUUUUAAAAAAUGUAAGUUUAGAAAUAUCUAUCAUUAAUAGUUUGUUAUAAUUAAUUUAAUUUUGAAAUAUAAUUUUAUAUAAGUUUUAUUUUUUUAUAAAUAAAUAAUUUUUAAUUUAUAAAAAUUAGUUAUAAUGAUAGAAUUAGUAUAAAAUUAUUUAUUUAAAUAAUAAUUUUUUAUAGAUUAUUUAAAGGAAUUCGGCAAAAUAUUUACUCGCCUGUUUAACAAAAACAUGUCUUUUUGAUUUAUAUAUAAAGUCUAGCCUGCCCACUGAAUUUUAAAUGGCCGCAGUAAUUUGACUGUGCAAAGGUAGCAUAAUCAUUAGUUUUUUAAUUAAAAGCUCGUAUGAAAGGUUGGACGAGGUAGAUACUGUCUCUAUUUAAUUUAAUUUAGAAUUUAAUUUUUAAGUUAAAAAGCUUAAAUUUUUAUAAAAGACGAGAAGACCCUAUAGAUCUUUAUAGUUAUAUUAUUAAAAUAAAUUUAGAUUUUUUAUUAUUUUAUUAUAAUAAUUAUUUUAUUGGGGUAAUAAAAAGAUUAAAAAAAUUCUUUUUUAAUAUUUAUAUUUAUUUAUAUUAUAUUGAUCCAUUAUUAAUGAUUAUAAGAUUAAGUUACCUUAGGGAUAACAGCGUAAUUUUUUUAGAGAGUUCAUAUCAAUAAAAAAGUUUGCGACCUCGAUGUUGGAUUAAAGAUUAAUUUAGGUGCAGAAGUUUAAAUUUUUGGUCUGUUCGACCAUUAAAUCUUUACAUGAUCUGAGUUCAGACCGGCGUAAGCCAGGUCGGUUUCUAUCUUUAUAAAUUUAUAAUAUUUUAGUACGAAAGGACCAAAUAUUUAAUAUAUUAAUAUUUAAUUUUUUGAAUAUUAUUAUUAUUUUGGCAGAUUAGUGCGAUGAAUUUAGAAUUCAUAUAUGUAAU